CUCAGAUUGAACGCUGGCGGCAUGCCUUACACAUGCAAGUCGAACGGCAGCGACGGGGCAACCUGGUGGCGAGUGGCGAACGGGUGAGUAAUGCAUCGGAACGUGCCAUUGAGUGGGGGAUAACGUAGCGAAAGUUGCGCUAAUACCGCAUAUUCUGUGAGCAGGAAAGCAGGGGACCGCAAGGCCUUGCGCUCUUUGAGCGGCCGAUGUCAGAUUAGCUAGUUGGUGAGGUAACGGCUUACCAAGGCGACGAUCUGUAGCGGGUCUGAGAGGAUGAUCCGCCACACUGGAACUGAGACACGGUCCAGACUCCUACGGGAGGCAGCAGUGGGGAAUUUUGGACAAUGGGCGCAAGCCUGAUCCAGCCAUGCCGCGUGAGUGAAGAAGGCCUUCGGGUUGUAAAGCUCUUUCGGCCGGGAAGAAAUCGCAUGGGUUAAUACCCUGUGUGGAUGGCGGUACCGGAAUAAGAAGCACCGGCUAACUACGUG
This 488-nucleotide ribosomal RNA is filed under the name uncultured bacterium. RNAcentral describes it as "bacterial SSU rRNA". It matches the Rfam family "Bacterial small subunit ribosomal RNA", at positions 23 to 507 of the family's 1533-position model. The record is from RNAcentral.